RNAcentral lists this ribosomal RNA (400 nucleotides) under uncultured bacterium. Its description in RNAcentral is "bacterial SSU rRNA". It matches the Rfam family "Bacterial small subunit ribosomal RNA", at positions 32 to 414 of the family's 1533-position model. The record is from RNAcentral.
AAUCAACGCUGGCGGCGUGCCUCAGACAUGCAAGUCGAACGAGAACCUCCCUUCGGGGGAGGAGACAGUGGCGCACGGGUGAGUAACACGUGGGUAAUUUACCUUUGGGUGGGGAACAACAGCCGGAAACGGCUGCUAAUACCGCAUAAUGCAGCGGCUCGACAUCGAGACAGUUGUUAAAGCAGGGGAUCGCAAGACCUCGCGCCUGAAGAGAAGCCUGCGGCGGAUAGCUAGUUGGUAGGGUAAUGGCCUACCAAGGCGACGAUCUGUAACCGGCCUGAGAGGGCGGUCGGUCACACUGACACUGACAUACGGGUCAGACUCCUACGGGAGGCAGCAGUCGGGAAUUUUGGGCAAUGGGCGAAAGCCUGACCCAGCAACGCCGCGUGAAGGAUGAAGC